GUGAGGAAUAUUGGUCAAUGGGCGAGAGCCUGAACCAGCCAAGUCGCGUGAAGGAAGAAGGAUCUAUGGUUUGUAAACUUCUUUUGAAGGGGGAUAAAGUGCGUCACGAGUGAUGCAUUGCAGGUACCCUUGGAAUAAGCAUCGGCUAACUCCGUGCCAGCAGCCGCGGUAAUACGGAGGAUGCGAGCGUUAUCCGGAUUUAUUGGGUUUAAAGGGUGCGUAGGUGGCUUUUUAAGUCAGCGGUGAAAACUGGCGGCUCAACCGCAAGAGUGCCGUUGAAACUGGGGAGCUAGAGUAUGAACGAGGUAGGCGGAAUGUGUGGUGUAGCGGUGAAAUGCAUAGAUAUCACGCAGAACUCCGAUAGCGAAGGCAGCUUACCAGGCCAUAACAGACACUGAAGCACGAAAGCGUGGGGAUCGAACAGGAUUAGAUACCCGUGUAGUCC
This 445-nucleotide ribosomal RNA is filed under the name uncultured bacterium. RNAcentral describes it as "partial 16S ribosomal RNA". It matches the Rfam family "Bacterial small subunit ribosomal RNA", at positions 354 to 796 of the family's 1533-position model. The record is from RNAcentral.